This 433-nucleotide ribosomal RNA is filed under the name uncultured bacterium. RNAcentral's name for it is "partial 16S ribosomal RNA". It matches the Rfam family "Bacterial small subunit ribosomal RNA", at positions 29 to 507 of the family's 1533-position model. The record is from RNAcentral.
AACGAACGCUGGCGGCAGGCCUAACACAUGCAAGUCGAGCGGACCUUUCGGGGUCAGCGGCGGACGGGUGAGUAACGCGUGGGAAUAUGCCCUUCUCUACGGAAUAGUCCUGGGAAACUGGGGGUAAUACCGUAUACGCCCUUUGGGGGAAAGAUUUAUCGGGGAAGGAUUAGCCCGCGUUGGAUUAGGUAGUUGGUGGGGUAAUGGCCUACCAAGCCGAUGAUCCAUAGCUGGUUUGAGAGGAUGAUCAGCCACACUGGGACUGAGACACGGCCCAGACUCCUACGGGAGGCAGCAGUGGGGAAUCUUAGACAAUGGGGGCAACCCUGAUCUAGCCAUGCCGCGUGAGUGAUGAAGGCCUUAGGGUUGUAAAGCUCUUUCAGCUGGGAAGAUAAUGACGGUACCAGCAGAAGAAGCCCCGGCUAACUCCGUG